This 254-nucleotide ribosomal RNA is filed under the name uncultured bacterium. RNAcentral describes it as "partial 16S ribosomal RNA". It matches the Rfam family "Bacterial small subunit ribosomal RNA", at positions 524 to 776 of the family's 1533-position model. The record is from RNAcentral.
CACGUAGGGGGCGAGCGUUGUCCGGAAUCAUUGGGCGUAAAGAGCUCGUAGGCGGCUCAGUAAGUCGGGUGUGAAACCCCCAGGCUCAACCUGGGGACGCCACCCGAUACUGCUGUGGCUAGAGUCCAGUAGGGGAGUGUGGAAUUCCCGGUGUAGCGGUGAAAUGCGCAGAUAUCAGGAAGAACACCCGUGGCGAAGGCGGCUCUCUGGGACGGUACUGACGCUGAGACGCGAAAGCGUGGGGAGCGAACAGG